This 6771-nucleotide long non-coding RNA is filed under the name Triticum aestivum (bread wheat). RNAcentral describes it as "long non-coding RNA (TAES_LNC017283)". Lineage: Eukaryota; Viridiplantae; Streptophyta; Magnoliopsida; Poales; Poaceae. The record is from RNAcentral.
UCCAGGAACUGGCACCUUGCAACAAUACGAUACACAAUCUUCUUUGGAUCGGAUUCGGUAGAACACGGCGCAAAAGUAGGCAACAAAUUUCCACCGGUCAAGUAACACAGGGGAAAAAAGAUGUAUCAGCCAUUUGCCGAUAAAUGGGUAAGGUGUAUCAGCCAUUUGCCGAUAAAUAGGUUAAACAAAAUUGGACCAAUGGGGGAGGAGCCCUGCGACAAUAUUAUUAAGACGGAGCGUGUGAGACGCCAAGUUCUAAAUCCAUGAAAUAAAUUCCGCCCCACAGGAUUCGAACUUGGAUCUGCCAAGGCACACAACCGUGCUCUUGCCAAUGGGCUAGGUACCCAUCCACGAUAAAUAGGUUAAACAUCCUGUGCGGAGUAUGAUCUGUUUGUUUGCUAUGUGUUUCCAGCCCUCAUUGCCAAAAAAAUGAGGCGUGGUUAUUGUAGUCUUUAUUUAUGAGAGCCUACACAGAAAAACUGCUCUCAUCAUCUUCAUUUAAAGCAGAGAAAAAGGACUACUACAGCAGCAUCGUCGUCAGGUUCUCAAGGUAGCCCUUAAAUGCCUUGAGCAAUUUCGCACCCAUGGAUCCUAUCCUAGUGGAUGUAGCGGGAAAGUAGUUGUUGCACCCAAGUUUGAUGCACCAACGCAAUGAACAGUAAAAUCAAAAUAAAUUGAAAACAAUUCAACAAAUCUGAACACUGGGUGCGUCUUUCGUCAGGACCAUGAUCGACCUCCCCAGUAAUUCGAAGCGCCAGUCACCUCGUUCAAGGAGCACCCGAACAUCACCUGCUACUAUGUCGGCUGAACGCGGGUACUUCUCGCAGCAAUAUGCAUGCAUGGGCUCAACGCCCGAGGUACGUCGGGGGAGGGGGGCCUUGGCCCCCCGGUCAAAACAAAUUUCCUAUCUUUGCUCGUUUAUAGUAUACUAGCAGCACGCGAGGUCGGCGGCAUGCGCCUUCAACCGGUUGAUGGCCCCUUCCCAGUUUAGCAAUGCCAUAUUUAAAUGAAAUAACAAUAUGAGGACCGAACCUAAUGUCUCAGGAGCUUGCAUUGACGGAUUUUCUGAAACUGGUUGAUUUUCUGAUGAGUUAUAGUGAACACAAUCCUUCCCCAUUAUAUCUAAUCAAUAAACUAAAAGAUGCACAUGAAACCGAAUCUCCGGCAGCGGACGAUGGGAGCUCGUUCUUGGGAGUGGGAAGGCACCCCGGCGCACGCCGGUGCUGGCUGCCAGGAGGAGGAGGGUUGGCUUAGCUGCCAAUGCCAUGGCGUAGGGUGGCGCCAAAGGUUCUCUGUUACGACCAAUGUGCAGAUCAAAAAUGACUGGGUAUGGNNNNNNNNNNNNNNNNNNNNNNNNNNNNNNNNNNNNNNNNNNNNNNNNNNNNNNNNNNNNNNNNNNNNNNNNNNNNNNNNNNNNNNNNNNNNNNNNNNNNNNNNNNNNNNNNNNNNNNNNNNNNNNNNNNNNNNNNNNNNNNNNNNNNNNNNNNNNNNNNNNNNNNNNNNNNNNNNNNNNNNNNNNNNNNNNNNNNNNNNNNNNNNNNNNNNNNNNNNNNNNNNNNNNNNNNNNNNNNNNNNNNNNNNNNNNNNNNNNNNNNNNNNNNNNNNNNNNNNNNNNNNNNNNNNNNNNNNNNNNNNNNNNNNNNNNNNNNNNNNUUCCUCAGUCUCUUUAUUACAUCUGGUUCCUUAUUUGGAAUAAAAGAAACAAUUAACAUCAUUGCAUUAAAAGAAAGACUAAUUUGUGUGACUCAGCUUUAUAAGCAAGCAUCAUAAACUUCCCCUUAGUACUUACCUAUUUCAAGUAUCUUAAACACACAUUUACACAGAGUUGAUAGAAAAUUUGGGUUCAAAAGAUCAAGUUACAAUGAAUAUGUAGAUGAUGAGGAAUGCCAGAUUCUGGACUUGCAGGCCGAUGCGUAGCUGCAACAGCGGCAGGUUGGAGCUCGGGAUCGACGGUGUUAGGCGUGGCUGGAAGGGAACCCGGCGUCGGCAGCCAGGACUAGGAGGAGGAUGACUAAGCAAGAUUAGAGUUACAGUAGAAAAGGUAGCAUGAGGCGGACGCGCGUAAAUCUAGACUAAGCAAGAUCAUGUGACAGCACUUUUUGGCUAUUUCUAUUGGGAGCUCAUCCACUAGUGUGUCGCCUGCCUCUGGCUUUGAAGUAAAUGUUUUUCUGAAAUUUUGAACAUAAUUAUUCUUUUUCAUAAAAGUAAUUGCUUUUUGACGAACAAAAUUUGUAAAGACUCAAACAUUUUUUGAAAAAAGGAACAAAACUGAAAACAAGUACAUUUUUCGAAACUACAACAAAAAAUUUGAACAUUCUCUGAAAAACAGGAAAAAAAAUGGAAAACAUGAACAUUUUCCAAAAAUAUGAAAAAGUUUUUCAAAACGCAAACAUUUUAUGAAAUUCCCCAAACAUUUUUAAAUUUUGUGAAAAAAGACCAUGGUAUUUUUGGAAUUUGGGAACAAAUUUUGGAAACAUGAACAUAUUUUUUGAAAAACAUGAACAUUAUAUGAAAUUGCCAAAAAAUGAAUUUGCGAAGAAAAUUUGAAAACAUUAACAAUUUUGAAUUUGCGAACAAAAUUUAAAAACAGGAACAUUUUUUGGAAAACACGAAUAUUUUAUGAAAUUCUCCAAAGUUUUAUUGAAUCAGCGAACAAAUUAUGGAAAUACGGGCAUAUUUGUACUCGUGAACUAAUUUUGAAAACAGGAACCUUUUCUGUAAUUGACGAACAUUUUUUGAAUUUGCGAAAAAACUUCAAAUUUUGGAAUAUUUUAAAUUUCUUUGAAUUUCCGAACAUUUUUUGAAAAUAAGUGAACAAAUUCGGGAGUACUAUACCUUUUCGAAAUUUCAGUACAAAAUUUGAAAACAAAAACAUUUUUUCUGGAAAAGUGAACAUUUUUUAAAGAUCGCAAACAUUUUUGGAAAUUUAUGAAAAAUUCUUUGAAGAAGGGAAAAAUAAAUUCGAAAAUAACAAUGAGAAAUGAAAGAAAAUAAAAAAAGGAAAGAAAAGAAACAGAAAAAGGAAGAAAAGCGAAAAAGGAGAGAAAAGAAAGGGACAGAAACAGGAAAAAAGAAAAAGAAAAAGAAGAAAACGAAAAAGCAAGAGGAAAAACAAGGGGGGGGGGCGGUUUGGGAACCUCCUAGAAGGUUCCAAAACCGUAAAUCGCUAAAACAUUCAACGGGCCCGCCCAUCCCCGAGCGAUCUUCAAACUAAACGUGCGUCAUCCCGACAACUCGCCGCCAGGGAAAAUAUCUAGUGAUACCAUUCAUGGGAUGAUACGCUGCUCCAGGGAUGCAUGGUACGUCAGAUCUGAAAUAAAGGGACAGGAUCAAGUCACUGAUGCAUUUACACAUGGGCCCUUGGAACAUUUGCACUUUGCCCCUAGAAACUAGCAUGUCUUUGCAGAAAUUGCCUUAGACAGUACGUCGAUCUCCAUCUGAGCUUGCACUUAUAAAUCCAGAAAAAAAGAAUCAAGUCAACAAACUGAAACUUCCAUAGAUAAUUAGAUCAUUUACAUGUUAAGCACUAGCACUAGUACUAGGGCGACAACAUGCUAAAUCCAGCUGAAUUACAUGGCCACCAAGGCUAGUUACAGAUUCAGCCUGAGCACAAUUACAGAAUUAGAUCCAAAACUAACCAUGACAAUUCCCAAUACUAGAACGAACCACUAAAGUUUGUCGUGGCUUAUCAGUAGACUAACAACUAACUCAACUUGAGAGCUGCGAGCCGUUGAGUUUGCGCCAUGUACACAUCCAUUGGUGGGCGCAAAUGCACACCUACAUGAUAAAAUCAAGAAUUAGAACCUAAAACAGCCUUUCGAAAACAACCCAAUCUUCUUCACCCUAGACCAUUUAAAAUAAAUGAACCAAUUCAUUUGUGUACUUGUAUCGAGAGGUCUCCUGGGGUCCACAUGAUGGGCGCACACACAUGAGUAACCUGGUUUUAAGAACUCACCACACCAACCCUGUUUUAAGGAUUCGGUACUAACCGUGUUCCUGUUACCUAGAAAAUGCAGAAUUAACCGUAAGUUCUUAUCAACAAACAACCAAACUUCCACAGGUUUUCUGUAAAUGAGAGGCAUAUAAGAAGAGUAACAAACCUUAGGUGAUUCAGUUAGCCCAAAGUAAGCUUUCCAUUUCUGUGACACAAUCGGUACAAUAGAAAAUUCAGAUGCCACUAGACCAGCAACCCACAAGCCAUAUAAAGAACAUGUACUCCACCAUCCCUGUGUAUGAAGAAGAAAGAUUACUGACAGAAUCUACAUCAUACCACAUGUUUCACAUGAAAUUUAAAUAGUCAUAUGGUGUCAGCUACAUUCUAUCAACUUGAAACUGCAAACUAAGUUUGAACUAGAUCCCAGUACUUGGAAUAACUCUAGCCUCAACUUGUGUGUGGAACAUCUCCAGAGACACAUGAUCUCAAGAAGCACACAAUGUUAGUUCUAUUACCACUGUACAACAUUAAAUAUGAGAAAUCUGCAAACACUUUUGUCAUGCCAAAUAACCUGCAUAUAUGUCGCAUCAUCUAAUUCUCCUGGUCGAUUUUGCUGUUUCUUGACUUAUAAGAACAUGUAAAAGGAAAUCAUUUGUUGAACUAGAAAACCAUGACAUGUUCACUUACGCUAGGCUGUACGUGUGGUUUUCAACUACUGUAUGUAAGAAACAUUCUAGAAAACUUUAUAAGAAAGAUUGUGUGUAUCUACAAUUCAGAUAGACAUGUUAUUGUUAGGAGAGGAAGUGGCAGUCAACAUUAUAACACUGAUAGACAUUCUUCUAGUUCUUCAGAGAUUAAAAUACUUAUACAUAUCUCUGCUCCAAACUAACUUUACCAUCUAUUGAGACUGAAUUGUGAGAUAAUUUUUUAUAACUCAGUGCUACAUUGUGGACAGCAAUUGACAAGCCAAUCUUUUAUUCUAAAAACAAGAUGUCUCGACGGACACUGAGAUUAAAGGAUGAACUAACCAUAUCCCAUAUGUGUUGCAUUCCGUGGGCAAUCAUGGCGUACAACUCUGAUUGGUCCAGAACUGCUAAUGCACGCAACAUCGCAGUUGGAGGAGGCAGAUCCUGCUGCAGCCUGCAGACAAAUUGACCUGUACUGCUACAGCUGCCAUGUCCAAUCGCCGUCGGUGCCAGCGAGACAUGCGCCAUGGUAUACCACUGGACUGGCUCGGAUAGGAACCCCUCGAACCACACCGACUCCCGCAGCGCCGAUAUCCAGUCCUAAAACCAAAAUAGUCCAGGGUGUCUCGUGCAUAAUUUCCAACGCGAACUGAGCUACUCAAUCAUGCGCCUCCAGUCCAGAUCCAACGGCCCACAUGAUCCGGUAUCAGCGUAUCAUACCACACACGGUAUCACCAGAUAUGCACUCCUCGCCGCCACGAGCGGCAAAUAGGGAUUUACAUGCCCCAUCGCUACACGAUUUUACCAGGGACGCUUCGAGUUAACUGGGCCUUCCAAUUUCUGUGCGUCCUUCACGCAAGGCUAUGCUAGGGUAUCUCUCAAAAAAAAAGGCUAUGCUAGGGUAGCUACAGUUGUACAGGUGACGGCAGUACUGGGCGAUGCUCGGGUCGCCCUGUACCGUAGCCCGGAACUCCGCCCCGAUGUGGACGGCGCGGCCGGCGGCGUUGUCGCGGAAGAAGACCUCCAGCUCGCGCCAGAGGUGGUACGCGGUGUUGUUCGGCGACUGGACCACGUCGUAGAGUUCAUCGAAGAUCGUGGCGUAGAUCCAGAGUACGAUGGUAAUGUCAUCGUUCCUCCAGACGGCAUCAGCAUGCAGGGGGUCAACGGCUUCCUCGACGUGAUCCUCGACUUGGUACUUGGUCAGUACAAAGGCGAAGAGCUAGCGCCAUUUCGAGUAAUUGUUGGCGUCCAGGCUGAGCUUGAAGGGGAUGAAUUAGGACGAGAUAUUAAUGUGAUGCAUGGAUGGAGGAGGAGCGACGGGGACCUGGGCGGCCGGCGCUGCCAGGGCGAGCGCAUGGCCGGGAGCAGCAGGGGCGCUGGAGCGCGCACGCGGAGGAUCGGGGCGCGGAUGGGCGCCGGAGCAACAGGAGCCGGUGCGGGGGUAGGCGCAGGCUCGGGGGCGACGCAAGGCAGGUCGAAGACGGUGUCGGCGUCCCCAAAGGAGCGGGUGCGCCGGAGAGGGCGGCGGACGCUUAUGGUGAAGGCGGAAGCGAGAGGAUCGAGAGCGUCUGAUACCAAGUUGGACAGGAGAAUUCUCACUAUGUUCAGUCAGGUACAACAAGCGUUUAUAUACACGCUGUACAGGUUGUUACAACAGAAUCGGAUAAGUGCUAAUCAUGCCGAACGUGGAGAUGAUGGCGUUCGUGCGCUGGAGAGUCGCGGGUGACUCGGUCCUGGAGGUUUGCCUCCCGUGCGUGGUGGCCUGUCAGGUGGACCGUCAGCAGGUUUCCAACAGCUACAGGCACAUAGUCGCGCCCUUAUUUCAUCCCCACAUUGCCCAGUUAGGAAAAAAAAAAGGUACAACAUAAACGACACAUAACUAUAAAAAAUCCAGGCACUGGCACCUUGCAACAAUACGAUACACAGUCUUCUUUGAAUACGAUACAAAAGUAGCUAGGCAACAAUUUUCCACCAGCCAAGUAACGCAGGGGAAAAAAAGGUUUAUCGGCCAUUUGCCGAUAAAAUAGGUUAACCAUCUCAUGCCGACUAUGAUCUGUUUGUUUGCUCUUGGUUUCCAGCCCUCAUUGCCGAAAAAUGAGGCGUGGUUAUUGUGGUCUUUAUUUGUGAGAGCUACACAGAAAAACUGCUCCC